GACGAACGCUGGCGGCGUGCUUAACACAUGCAAGUCGAACGGAAAGGCCCUGCUUGCCGGGUGCUCGAGUGGCGAACGGGUGAGUAACACGUGGGUGAUCUGCCCCUUACUUUGGGAUAAGCCUGGGAAACUGGGUCUAAUACUGGAUAGGACCAUGCUGUAGGUGGUGUGGUGGAAAGAUUAUUUUCGGUAAGGGAUGAGCUCGCGGCCUAUCAGCUUGUUGGUGGGGUAAUGGCCUACCAAGGCGUCGACGGGUAGCCGGCCGGAGAGGGUGGACGGCCACAUUGGGACUGAGAUACGGCCCAGACUCCUACGGGAGGCAGCAGUGGGGAAGAUUGCACAAUGGGCGCAAGCCUGAUGCAGCGACGCCGCGUGGGGGAUGACGGCCUUCGGGUUGUAAACUCCUUUCAGCCAUGACGAAGCCCUUGUGGUGACGGUAGUGGUAGAAGAAGCACCGGCUAACUACGUG
This 469-nucleotide ribosomal RNA is filed under the name uncultured bacterium. Its description in RNAcentral is "partial 16S ribosomal RNA". It matches the Rfam family "Bacterial small subunit ribosomal RNA", at positions 28 to 507 of the family's 1533-position model. The record is from RNAcentral.